AAAUCGGUUGCCGAUCGUGGCACGUUCUCGAGAGGGAGUAAGUCCUGAGGACGCGGAUGGCUCCUACUUAUAAAGACUUGGCCAAGUCUUGGCUCUCCAAUUGGCUUCCAGGUAAGUCGCAGUGUUUACGAUGAUAAGCGUGACGAAACAGAAUCUCGUCAUAAAUCUGGAGUGACAAGAAGCAGAGCCGUCUGAUCGUUACAAAUCAUGCCCGUCCUCGAAGCUGCAUCUGCAUACUUUUCUUUUUUUUUUCUUUUGUUCUUCGCUUCUUCUCCUUUUUUUACGAAACAUUAUUUUUCCAUGAGAGUUCCACACAUUAACUGGUUCCAUUAUUAAUAUCUCAAUCGAUAUAUGAUCUGGAAAAAAAUUCGAUGCCUAUCGAAUCAGUCGUUAUUUUAUUUUUCGAAUCAUUUGUUCGUUUAUGGAAACAUUAAAGUUAGAAUAAUAUUUAAUUUGACAAAUCAACCGUUGAUAACGAGUAAGAAUUCUAUAUAAAUAUAUAUAUAUAUAUAUGAUAUAUAUACGAUAUAACUUUAUUUCCUUGUUUGUUUCCAGUUUAAAUCACGUAAAAAAUCCUUUUCUCAAAAUUUUUAUUUCUAGAACAAAUUUUCGUAAUACUUUUUCGUAAACAUUUGUAAUUAUUCGAUUAAUUAAGUCAAUUUCAUUUGAAAAAAUUCUGGCAUAUUGAUUUGUAGAUUUAUUUAGGAAUUAAGAAAUAAAUCUUGACAUAUUUUAAUCGUUGAGAUAUGUAAAAAAAAUACAAUGUUUCUCAAAAAAUUAAUCUCUCAAAAAAUUUGAUCGAUGAUGAUAAAACGUAUCUUAAGCAAUAUAAUUUAUACAGAUAUUAAAUGGAAAGAUCCGAAGACGUAGCCCGUUUUUUUGUGCUAAUUUGGUUAUAUUAUUUUAACUUUAAAAUUUUUUUAAAAAACAUUUGAUCAAACGUUUGAAAUGAAAAAUUAAGUUGAAGAAGAAAAAAUUGAAAAAAGAGUAAAAUAAAUAAAGAUUAUUAUAAGUAAAA
Molecule: long non-coding RNA, 1018 nt
Organism: Apis cerana (Asiatic honeybee)
Lineage: Eukaryota; Metazoa; Arthropoda; Insecta; Hymenoptera; Apidae
Source: RefSeq, a predicted model, not a curated record